This 1627-nucleotide unclassified non-coding RNA is filed under the name Limulus polyphemus (Atlantic horseshoe crab). Its description in RNAcentral is "sn1-specific diacylglycerol lipase alpha-like, transcript variant X3". Lineage: Eukaryota; Metazoa; Arthropoda; Merostomata; Xiphosura; Limulidae. The record is from RNAcentral.
GUUCCUUGUUUAGUGAAACCUCACAAUAACACACAUCUGAAGAUGCAGGUGUGUAUAAUGACUAUAGUAAUGAUGUGAUUUCAAUCUUUGGAGAAUAAAUGAAUAUUUCUUGGUUUAAUAUUUUAGUUUAUUUCUGGGCAUCUGGAAUAACGUACAUUCGUCACGCAGGCUGGUGGCGCUGUUAGGUAGAAUGUUUGUCCUCUCUCUAUCCGAAGGAGCGACGUAUCACUGUACGAAGUAUAAUCAACGCUCCUGCCAUCGUGAUAUGUUUGUGACUUACCAUUACAGUGGACACAAGGACAGCGAAGAUGGGGCAAGUGAAGAUGUUGGAUAUAACAUUCAUUCUUAAGCUACUACGAGAAUGCAAAAGAAACCUACAUAGAGGAGUUUAAAUUAUCUUCUGGAGGACUUAAGGUCAAGUGGGUCGACGUAAGAGAACAAGUCUUCAUGCCAGGAAUUGUGUUGUUUAACAGACGAUGGUCCGUUGGAUCUGAUGACUUCGUCUUGCCAGCCAUCUUUCUUCUACUCCUUCACACUGUCUGGUUGAUAGUCCUGUCCGUCAUUUUAACGGUGGUGGACUUUGGUCAGUGGUCUCAAUGCAUGAUCGACCUGUACGAACAUGUCUUAGGCUACAUCGUCAUUCUGACUGGAUGUAUCAUUGUGGAAGGGUUCAUUUCGUGGAUCAGCAUGAGAGGCACCAUACUGGACAACAGACCUCGAGUGUCCAUGCAGUACUUGCUUUACGUACGGUUAGGUAUUUUAUUGGUGGAAGUGGCAUGGUUAAUCGUUGGAGUUGUCUGGAUCAGUCGUCAUUACCACACCUGUCCAAUGAAUCUCGCUAAAGAAGCCAUUUUAGGUAUCGUGAUCUGUAACUGGUGUGUUCUGCUGAGUGUCGUUAUCACAAUCUGGUGUACGUUUGAUGCAGCUGGUAGAUCUUGGGUAAAAAUGAAGAGGUACCAAAGAAGUCUUCGAGAGGACAGAUCCAAGUAUAGAUACAAGCGAUCAGGUAGCUCUCAUCGCAACUGGAGACACAGGAAGGCAACGAGAGAGUAUCAGGACAGUUGGAACAGGAGGUGUAGGUUAUUGUUCUGCUGCAUGGGACGGACAGACAGACAUCAGAAUUCUUUUGCAGAAAUAGCCAAACUUCUGUCUGAGUUUUUCCGGGAUCUGGAUGUUGUUCCUUCUGACGUUGUGGCAGGACUAGUCCUCUUACGGAAGUACCAGAGGAUGGAGAGGCAAGCAAUUGUUAAAGAGAGGACUAAUGAAACCUAUCAGUUCUUGUCUGGCGUUCCCAUCACACCUAAAACCAAGUUUCUUGAUAUAAAUCAUCCGUUAAUUGUAGACGAGAUACACACAAUCACUCACUACCUACAUUACGCCUUGGCUGUCUAUGGAUGGCCGAUGUUCAUGAUGGUUCAUAGCGGAACUUGCUGUUGCAAGCUUUUCCCGUAUCUCAGGUUGGUGAAACGCCAUUUUUGGUGGCCUUAGACCACGAGAGGAGAACUGUGGUCGUGUCCAUUCGAGGAACAAUCUCUUUACAGGAUGUCAUCACUGACCUUAAUGCAGAUGGUGAGCAACUACCGACAGAUCCCGCACACGAAGAUUGGUUAGGACAUAAGGUUGGCCA